UACGUAGGUGGCAAGCGUUGUCCGGAAUUAUUGGGCGUAAAGCGCGCGCAGGCGGUCCUUUAAGUCUGAUGUGAAAGCCCUCGGCUCAACCGAGGAAGGUCAUUGGAAACUGGAGGACUUGAGUGCAGAAGAGGAAAGUGGAAUUCCAAGUGUAGCGGUGAAAUGCGUAGAGAUUUGGAGGAACACCAGUGGCGAAGGCGACUUUCUGGUCUGUAACUGACGCUGAGGCGCGAAAGCCAGGGGAGCAAACGGG
Molecule: ribosomal RNA, 253 nt
Filed under: uncultured bacterium
Lineage: Bacteria
Description: partial 16S ribosomal RNA
Rfam family: Bacterial small subunit ribosomal RNA
Source: RNAcentral